Molecule: ribosomal RNA, 439 nt
Filed under: uncultured bacterium
Lineage: Bacteria
Description: partial 16S ribosomal RNA
Rfam family: Bacterial small subunit ribosomal RNA
Source: RNAcentral
CUACGGGGCGCUCCAGUGGGGAAUCUUAGACAAUGGGCGCAAGCCUGAUCCAGCCAUGCCGCGUGAGUGAAGAAGGCCUUAGGGUCGUAAAGCUCUUUCGCCAGAGAUGAUAAUGACAGUAUCUGGUAAAGAAACCCCGGCUAACUCCGUGCCAGCAGCCGCGGUAAUACGGAGGGGGUUAGCGUUGUUCGGAAUUACUGGGCGUAAAGCGCGCGUAGGCGGAUUAGUCAGUCAGAGGUGAAAUCCCAGGGCUCAACCCUGGAACUGCCUUUGAUACUGCUAGUCUUGAGUUCGAGAGAGGUGAGUGGAAUUCCGAGUGUAGAGGUGAAAUUCGUAGAUAUUCGGAGGAACACCAGUGGCGAAGGCGGCUCACUGGCUCGAUACUGACGCUGAGGUGCGAAAGUGUGGGGAGCAAACAGGAUUAGAUACCCCUGUAGUC